This is a long non-coding RNA of Hermetia illucens (black soldier fly), 579 nucleotides long. RefSeq lists it as uncharacterized. The record is from RefSeq and is a predicted model, not a curated record. Lineage: Eukaryota; Metazoa; Arthropoda; Insecta; Diptera; Stratiomyidae. The transcript has 2 exons.
AGGUUCAGCUUUGCCAGUUUCUUGGAGUUUUCUGGGGUGUUUGGUUAGGUCCAGCCGGCAAUAAUCAAUGACCAGCCAAGGACUAUCUUUCAAUUAAUUCAAUUUCUUGUGUAAAUGAUUUACAUUUGCAGAGGAAAAAUUGAUUCAGGGUCUGCUUUGAACCUGGGAAAGCACUUGAAUAUCAUUAAAGGAUCCCGCAUUGGAAAUUCCGGCAACUGGUUGGAAUUACUUGUUCUGGUUUUGUUGAUAAACGUGCCCUGAAAGACCGAGAUGCCAUCCUCAAACAUCGCUCCCUUGAAUAGUGAGCAGAAUACAGUGAAAACUUCAGGAUACAAGGUUCCAGCUUUGAAAGUCAACAGUAGUCCUGGAGCUGGGAAAGUUGACCCGAAUGCUAUCAAACGCGAGUAUGCAGAGAAAUUCCGGUACAAUGUGACGAUUGCUACAAAUCGCGAACAAUUCAACAAUUUGCAUCAUUGUUGAAAUGCAUUGUUCUCCCGUUGUUGCAACUAAAGGAUUUUGCCCGUACAUUACCAUAUGCAUGAAGCAUUGGAAGCAAUAAAGGUGUUUUCUGUUAGUGAA